RNAcentral lists this unclassified non-coding RNA (573 nucleotides) under Hevea brasiliensis (rubber tree). Lineage: Eukaryota; Viridiplantae; Streptophyta; Magnoliopsida; Malpighiales; Euphorbiaceae. The record is from RNAcentral.
GAGCACCUCAGCAUUUUAAGCAGGUAGGAAAAUUUUUUGUUGCAUCUGCUUCUCUAGACAUUGUUACUGGCAUUGGCUACUUUAUUCAUUGGCUACUUCAGAUACUCAUAAAUCCACUUAGUUUGUUUAGUGUUCUAGAACUUCCUUUUUGAGGAAAAGUACAGUCUUUGCCAGUUUGUUUUUUGUUUAUUUAAGUUGCCCAUGAAAUGCUUAGCUUAGUGUUCUAGAAGGCUGAAAUAGGGUGGUAUGCUGAUUCAUAGAAUUUCUUGAAGUUGCAUUUUGCCGCAGACUUGUAGAAUAUGUGCUUGAAUAUUUGAAUAGGCUUAGUAGCUGGGUUGGCAAUGCUUUGUGUUUUUAUUUCUGAAGCGAACUCUUUAAUUGAUCAUUAUCCUUUUUUCCUAGUGUUCAUAAGCAGCCAGUUGCACUCAACUUUUUCUUUAAGAUGUUUAUUUGCUCUUUUACUUCGGAAAUAUUUCAAAAUUAAUGGAUAAAUCCAACAAAGCUAUUGCCUUUCUAGUUGAUGCGUCUUUCUGUGUGAUUUCUUUUAUGGCAUAAAGAUAGGAACCUCUUUGU